AUUGAACGCUGGCGGCAGGCCUAGCACAUGCAAGUCGAACGGUAACAGGGAUCAGCUUGCUGAUUCGCUGACGAGUGGCGGACGGGUGAGUAAUGUCUGGGAAACUGCCUGAUGGAGGGGGAUAACUACUGGAAACGGUAGCUAAUACCGCAUAACGUCGCAAGACCAAAGAGGGGGACCUUCGGGCCUCUUGCCAUCGGAUGUGCCCAGAUGGGAUUAGCUAGUAGGUGGGGUAACGGCUCACCUAGGCGACGAUCCCUAGCUGGUCUGAGAGGAUUACCAGCCACACUGGAACUGAGACACGGUCCAGACUCCUACGGGAGGCAGCAGUGGGGAAUAUUGCACAAUGGGCGCAAGCCUGAUGCAGCCAUGCCGCGUGUAUGAAGAAGGCCUUCGGGUUGUAAAGUACUUUCAGCGGGGAGGAAGGGAGUAAAGUUAAUACCUUGGCUCAUUGACGUUACCCGCAGAAGAAGCACCGGCUAACUCCGUG
This 490-nucleotide ribosomal RNA is filed under the name uncultured bacterium. RNAcentral describes it as "partial 16S ribosomal RNA". It matches the Rfam family "Bacterial small subunit ribosomal RNA", at positions 30 to 507 of the family's 1533-position model. The record is from RNAcentral.